UACGGGGGGGGCAAGCGUUGUUCGGAAUUACUGGGCGUAAAGGGCUCGUAGGCGGCCAACUAAGUCAGACGUGAAAUCCCUCGGCUUAACCGGGGAACUGCAUCUGAUACUGGAAGGCUUGAGAUUGGGAGAGGGAUGCGGAAUUCCAGGUGUAGCGGUGAAAUGCGUAGAUAUCUGGAGGAACACCGGUGGCGAAGGCGGCAUCCUGGACCAACACUGACGCUGAGGAGCGAAAGCCAGGGGAGCAAACGGG
Molecule: ribosomal RNA, 253 nt
Filed under: uncultured bacterium
Lineage: Bacteria
Description: partial 16S ribosomal RNA
Rfam family: Bacterial small subunit ribosomal RNA
Source: RNAcentral